This 519-nucleotide ribosomal RNA is filed under the name Alteromonadaceae bacterium. Its description in RNAcentral is "bacterial SSU rRNA". It matches the Rfam family "Bacterial small subunit ribosomal RNA", at positions 391 to 902 of the family's 1533-position model. Lineage: Bacteria; Pseudomonadati; Pseudomonadota; Gammaproteobacteria; Alteromonadales; Alteromonadaceae. The record is from RNAcentral.
GCCAUGCCGCGUGUGUGAAGAAGGCCUUCGGGUUGUAAAGCACUUUCAGUUGUGAGGAAAGGUUGGUAGUUAAUACCUGCCAGCUGUGACGUUAACAACAGAAGAAGCACCGGCUAACUCCGUGCCAGCAGCCGCGGUAAUACGGAGGGUGCGAGCGUUAAUCGGAAUUACUGGGCGUAAAGCGGACGCAGGCGGUUUGUUAAGCUAGAUGUGAAAGCCCCGGGCUCAACCUGGGAUGGUCAUUUAGAACUGGCAGACUAGAGUCUUGGAGAGGGGAGUGGAAUUCCAGGUGUAGCGGUGAAAUGCGUAGAUAUCUGGAGGAACAUCAGUGGCGAAGGCGACUCCCUGGCCAAAGACUGACGCUCAUGUCCGAAAGUGUGGGUAGCGAACAGGAUUAGAUACCCUGGUAGUCCACACCGUAAACGCUGUCUACUAGCUGUGUGUGAAUUUAAUUCGUGCGUAGCGAAGCUAACGCGCUAAGUAGACCGCCUGGGGAGUACGGCCGCAAGGUUAAAACUC